ACAGAGCUUCAUUACCUAACGUUCUUUCUUUUGAAUUUUACUAAUAGGGACAGGGAUGGUUUUCUAGCGUUGUGCUUACUUCGGGCUAGCUCGACUACUUAGAUGUUAAGGAAAAUCCGUGGUUUCUUUAACCAAUCUUAGACAUUUGGUUAUCGUCCCCCCAAAAGAAUAUACUGCUGUACAAGGAUUACCAGUGUAAAUCUUCCUCUCCUGAUUGAUUCCUCUGUUCUUUUGUUGUAAACUAAAUUCUUCCGGUGGUGGAAAUAACCGAGUUGAUGGCUCCAACGGGGAACAAGAAUAUACAAUCCAAGCUGGUGCUUCUUGGGGACAUGGGGACUGGGAAGACCAGUUUAGCAUUAAGAUUUGUCAAAGGCCAGUUCCAUGAUUUUGAGGAAUCAACCAUUGGAGCAGCCUUCUUUACUCAAGUCUUGUCACUCAACGAAGCUACCAUAAAAUUUGAUAUAUGGGACACAGCAGGACAGGAACGUUAUCAUAGUUUAGCUCCAAUGUACUAUCGAGGUGCAGCUGCUGCUGUUAUAGUUUAUGAUAUCACAAACGCGGAUUCAUUUGAACGGGCCAAAAAGUGGGUUCAACAACUGCAGCGACACGGAAAUUCCAAUAUGAUUGUGGCUUUGGUGGCAAACAAGGCCGACUUAAGUUCAGACAGAACGGUGGAAAAUGAGGAAGGGGAGCAUUAUGCUAGAGAAAAUGGCUUGCUAUUCUUUGAAACUUCAGCAAAAACUGCACAGAAUGUGAAUGAGCUAUUUUAUGAAAUAGGUAGAAUCGCCUGGUGCUGCUGACUAAUGCUCAUACAUUUGCAGCCAAAAGUUUGGCAAAGGCAGUCCAUAUACGACAAGCUGGAAUGAAACUGCAAAGCAGAUCUGCAGAUCAGAGAAGAGGGCUCUUUUGCUGCUCUGGAUGAAGACAAACAUGAUUGUAGGAAAACGUCCCUUCACAAGAAGCAUCGUGGUGCAUAACUGCUGUCCAAUACCAUUGUUUCCUGAGGAGAUAAAAGGGACAGAAGAGGAAGAGAGAAGAGGGGGGAGGGGGGGGGGGGUUGUUCCUGCAUCUUCAUGUGUUACUUUUGAAAGCUACAAAUUCUUUGAUUGCUUUGGAUGCUUUGUAUACUUGUGCGCAUAACAUUAAUUUCCAAGUCGAGCACUAAUCUUCGGUGAAUAUGAUGGAUGAUAUUAGAGCCAGGUUUCAAUAAUAAACAAGAGAAUAAAUUGUAACAGAGAAUUGGACAUUUCCUAUGACCUCUCCCAUUUUUCUUAAUUAAUCAAAGUUUUCUGCCUA
Coffea arabica (coffee) is the source of this 1296-nucleotide non-coding RNA. NCBI's taxonomy places the organism in Eukaryota, Viridiplantae, Streptophyta, Magnoliopsida, Gentianales, Rubiaceae. The record is from RefSeq and is a predicted model, not a curated record.